Harpia harpyja (harpy eagle) is the source of this 159-nucleotide long non-coding RNA. RefSeq lists it as uncharacterized. The record is from RefSeq and is a predicted model, not a curated record. The transcript is spliced from 3 exons. NCBI's taxonomy places the organism in Eukaryota, Metazoa, Chordata, Aves, Accipitriformes, Accipitridae.
UCUUGUUUUGUUUUCAUCUCAGAUUGUUCUGAUUGUAAUGAUUUUGAAGAUUAUCUGUGAAGAUUCUGAAACUUCUUUAAUGAGAAAUAUGCUUCUUUCUGUCACAGCAGGACUCUGGGGCUAAAUAGCAUAGGAGGUACACUUGUGGCAAUCCUAGUG